Molecule: non-coding RNA, 116 nt
Organism: Peptococcaceae bacterium 1109
Lineage: Bacteria; Bacillati; Bacillota; Clostridia; Eubacteriales; Peptococcaceae
Source: Rfam
GAGGGAGGGCCCCUCGGAAUCGCUGUUCAGGCAGAGAUUUCAAAUCACCUUAAGGUGCUGUCGGGUAAACCGGUGGUGCUGAGCGUUAAGGAAAAGGCAGGGAAAGACCUGUCAGA